This 29-nucleotide non-coding RNA is filed under the name Mus musculus (house mouse). Lineage: Eukaryota; Metazoa; Chordata; Mammalia; Rodentia; Muridae. The record is from RNAcentral.
UUACUACAUUAGAACCAUUGCCAUGGGAC